UAAUAUAAUAGCAUGGAACAAUCAAAAAUUAUAGAUACGUUGGAGACUUAUCAAGCAUCCCCAAGCUUAAUUCCUGCUCGUCCUCGAGUAGGUAAAUGAUAAAAACAGAAUUUUUGAUGUGGAAUGCUACCUAACAUAAUUACCAAUGUAAUUUUCUUUAUUGUGGCAUGAAUGUUCAGAUCCGAAAGAUUCAAGACAAAAGUUUAAUAUUGACAUAAAAAUAAUAAUACUUCAAGCAUACUAACAAGG
RNAcentral lists this ribosomal RNA (249 nucleotides) under Triticum aestivum (bread wheat). RNAcentral's name for it is "partial small subunit ribosomal RNA". Lineage: Eukaryota; Viridiplantae; Streptophyta; Magnoliopsida; Poales; Poaceae. The record is from RNAcentral.